UACGGGGGGGGCAAGCGUUGUUCGGAAUUACUGGGCGUAAAGGGCGCGUAGGCGGCCUUCUAAGUCGGACGUGAAAUCCCUCGGCUUAACCGAGGAACUGCGUCCGAUACUGAAAGGCUUGAAUCCGGGAGAGGGAAGUGGAACUCCGGGAGUAGCGGUGAAAUGCGUAGAGACCCGGAGGAACACCAGUGGCGAAGGCGGCUUCCUGGUCUGCAACUGACGCUGUGGCGCGAAAGCUAGGGGAGCAAACGGG
RNAcentral lists this ribosomal RNA (253 nucleotides) under uncultured bacterium. Its description in RNAcentral is "partial 16S ribosomal RNA". It matches the Rfam family "Bacterial small subunit ribosomal RNA", at positions 524 to 776 of the family's 1533-position model. The record is from RNAcentral.